GGGAGGUAGUGACAAUAAAUAACAAUACAGGGUUCUUUUGGAUCUUGUAAUUGGAAUGAGUACAAUUUAAAUCUCUUAACGAGGAACAAUUGGAGGGCAAGUCUGGUGCCAGCAGCCGCGGUAAUUCCAGCUCCAAUAGCGUAUAUUAAAGUUGUUGCAGUUAAAAAGCUCGUAGUUGAAUUUCGGGAUCAAUAUAUCGGUCGUGCCUCUGGUUCGUACUGGUAUCAUUGAUUUCUCCUUUCUGACGAACCAUGAUGUCAUUAAUUUGGUGUUAUGGGGAGUUAGGACUGUUACUUUGAAAAAUUAGAGUGUUUAAAGCAGGCAUUAGCUUGAAUACAUUAGCAUGGAAUAAUGAAAUAGGACGUUUGACCCUAUUUUGUUGGUUUCUAGGAUCGACGUAAUGAUUAAUAGGGAUAGUUGGG
This 422-nucleotide ribosomal RNA is filed under the name uncultured Glomeraceae. Its description in RNAcentral is "SSU rRNA". It matches the Rfam family "Eukaryotic small subunit ribosomal RNA", at positions 459 to 886 of the family's 1831-position model. Lineage: Eukaryota; Fungi; Glomeromycota; Glomeromycetes; Glomerales; Glomeraceae. The record is from RNAcentral.